Molecule: ribosomal RNA, 301 nt
Filed under: uncultured bacterium
Lineage: Bacteria
Description: partial 16S ribosomal RNA
Rfam family: Bacterial small subunit ribosomal RNA
Source: RNAcentral
CAGCAGCCACGGUAAUACAGAGGGUGCAAGCGUUAAUCGGAAUUACUGGGCGUAAAGCGCGCGUAGGUGGUUUGUUAAGUUGGAUGUGAAAGCCCCGGGCUCAACCUGGGAACUGCAUCCAAAACUGGCAAGCUAGAGUACGGUAGAGGGUGGUGGAAUUUCCUGUGUAGCGGUGAAAUGCGUAGAUAUAGGAAGGAACACCAGUGGCGAAGGCGACCACCUGGACUGAUACUGACACUGAGGUGCGAAAGCGUGGGGAGCAAACAGGAUUAGAUACCCCGGUAGUCCCUGUCUCUUAUAA